UCUGGUUGAGAGUACGCCGUGCACAUUCUGGCUGCUGCUUCUCACUGGAGCUUUUUAUUUUAUUUUCCUUUUUGUUUUUCUUUUUUGUGUUUGUGUAGUUUGAUGAUUGUUUUUGUUUGAGUGUUUUGUCCACCAGUUGUGGUGUAGCUCUGGACCCAGUUUUGGGCAUCGAUUCCCUCCAGACCUGGUUCACCGUGGGCGAUGCCUGUGCUCCACCGUGGGCGAUGCCUGUGCUCCACCGUGGGCGAUGCCUGUGCUCCACCGUGGGCGAUGCCUGUGCUCCACCGUGGGCGAUGCCUGUGCUCCUGGCUGUGGACUACAAUGGAAUUUUCUGUUUCUGGGAUUUUCUUUUUCCUGCGCCGUGCCUCAGGAAAUUCAGCUGAGGUCCAUUCAGAAAGGAUGAAGACACACAGAACAGUUCGGAGGAGGAAACACUGCUUUCAUGGCCUGAGGGAAUGAAACAUGUAGAGCCAUUCUGAACAUUUCUGAAGGAAAACUGAUGAACACCUUUCCU
This is a long non-coding RNA of Neoarius graeffei (lesser salmon catfish), 514 nucleotides long. RefSeq lists it as uncharacterized. The record is from RefSeq and is a predicted model, not a curated record. The transcript has 3 exons. NCBI's taxonomy places the organism in Eukaryota, Metazoa, Chordata, Actinopteri, Siluriformes, Ariidae.